UGAUACGUAGGGGUCUAGCGUUGUCCGGAAUUAUUGGGCGUAAAGAGCUCGUAGGCGGUUCGGCAAGUCGGAUGUGAAAUCUCCACGCUUAACGUGGAGGGGCCAUUCGAAACUGCCGUGACUCGAGUCCGGUAGGGGAGUGCGGAAUUCCCGGUGUAGCGGUGAAAUGCGCAGAUAUCGGGAGGAACACCAGUGGCGAAGGCGGCACUCUGGGCCGGAACUGACGCUGAGGAGCGAAAGCGUGGGGAGCGAACAGGAUUAGAUACCCUGGUAGUCCACGCCGUAAACGUUGGGCACUAGGUGUGGGGCUCUAUCGACGGGUUCCGUGCCGUAGCUAACGCAUUAAGUGCCCCGCCUGGGGAGUACGGCCGCAAGGCUA
RNAcentral lists this ribosomal RNA (379 nucleotides) under uncultured bacterium. Its description in RNAcentral is "bacterial SSU rRNA". It matches the Rfam family "Bacterial small subunit ribosomal RNA", at positions 521 to 896 of the family's 1533-position model. The record is from RNAcentral.